Molecule: transfer RNA, 41 nt
Filed under: Rafnia elliptica
Lineage: Eukaryota; Viridiplantae; Streptophyta; Magnoliopsida; Fabales; Fabaceae
Description: partial transfer RNA-Leu (UAA)
Source: RNAcentral
AAAAUCCGUCGACUUUAUAAAUCGUGAGGGUUCAAGUCCCU